AAGCACGAAUAUUUUCAUCCUCCCUUCGGCCUUCCACUGCUCUUACAGUGCCAACUAUAAUUAAGCACUGCUACUUCCACCUUGAUUUCCAUGAGCCCAGUAAGGUUUAGCAGGGGUGCGUCGUAAUGCCCUCACUCCCAAUGGGUUGUCCUUGCUCUGUUGCAGAAAAUUCAAGAAAGCACAUAAGAAAAAUAAAAAAAUAAUCAAAAAGAGAAAACCAGGACUGCUAAAUUUAAACUUGAAAGCUCAAAAGAAAAACAUCAAACGAUUUCUUAAUAGAAUCAUGCAAUGCAACCAAAUAGCUUGAAUUUAAAACAUGAAUAUCGAAAUAUUUGCCCAUUGGUCUUUGGCACACUGCUGCAAAGCCUAGAGCAGCCAAGCGUACCAACAAAAUUUAGCAUAUCUUACCAUCAAGCAGGUCCCAGCACGAACAUUACAGAUGGGAUAGUCAUGUGGGCAGCAGCUAUAGUGGUCAUCACAGCAGGUGGCAGCCUCAAGCGGGCAGCAUCCCCAUGCAAAGCAAGAGUUACCAUACUCAAAGACACAGCAGCAAGUGUUGCUCUCAGGGCAAGAGUAAUAAUUGUCACACACAGCAGGAGGCUUUGUUGGAGAUGGAGGGGACGGUCCAGGGUUGGGAGGAUUUUGGCCUUUCUUUAUGGGAUAUGAGGCCUCCAUGGCAAUUCCACACUUGCCCGUGAGAGUGCCAGCCACGUUACGCUCCAUCCUAAUAUAGCCAGCCUCUCCCCAGCUACUGCCCCAUGAAUUCUUCACAAUCCAGUAAUCAGCUCCAUUUUCUGUGCCAUAUCCAACAGCAGUAACACCAUGGUCCAGAGAUGUCCCACAUCUUCCCGUAAAUAUACCCUGAAAAUUUGCAAAGACAGAAAAAUAUACUUGAGACUUCCUUAAAACAGAUCAGACACACACAAGACUCUUCCUGAUCCUGUUUAGAAACCAUUAGAAAUACAAUAAUUUUUGUUCAAAUACCAUCCAGUAUUGUCUCAACCAUAUCUUUUCAGAACUGCAAAAUGCAAAUACUUUGUAUCUAGAUAAUAGCAACAUUCCUAAAUCUAAAAUGUGACAAGUGCCAUGAAGAGAUGAAAGUUAC
RNAcentral lists this long non-coding RNA (1105 nucleotides) under Citrus maxima (pomelo). RNAcentral's name for it is "long non-coding RNA (CMAX_LNC001609)". The record is from RNAcentral. Lineage: Eukaryota; Viridiplantae; Streptophyta; Magnoliopsida; Sapindales; Rutaceae.